CUGGCGGAUAGCCUCGUCCGGAUUCGGUUUUUUCGGUGACAAGGGUCUGAACGGAGUCCCCGGGUCCUCCUUGGCGUAUCUCCUCGCGGGCCAGCAUGGUGGCACAGCAGUUAAGUUCGCACAUUCUGCGUUGGCAGCCUGGGGUUCGCCGGUUCGGAUCCCGGGUGCGGACAUGGUACCGCUCAUCAAGCCAUGCUGUGCUUACUAGGUACUGCAGAACCAGGGAAAAUAGUACCAAUGAAUGCGAGCAACCUUGUGUUUUCCUGAUCUUAAAGAGAAUACAUCUAAAUUUUUUCCAUUAAGUAAAAAGUUUGCU
RNAcentral lists this long non-coding RNA (316 nucleotides) under Equus asinus (donkey). RNAcentral describes it as "lncRNA (ENSEASG00005032798.1)". The record is from RNAcentral. Lineage: Eukaryota; Metazoa; Chordata; Mammalia; Perissodactyla; Equidae.